UUUUCUUAGAUAUUAAAGUUUUACAUAACAAUAUAGGCGAGGAGCAAUAGAAAUGCAGAAAAUCGAGCUAAGUUAAAGAUAUAUCAUCAUAUUGGUAGCAAGCCUAUUAGAGAGAUUAUUUAUCAGCAGGGCGGAAAAGAUGGCAAUCCACCAAAUUUGGCAACUAUUUUCUUCGAGACUUGUAAGAAAGAUAACAUGCUUGUUGAACCAGAAGCAAUUGAAAAACAUGCUCAAAUAGAAGAAAUACUAAAAGUUGAGCCAUCUCUGCCUAGCAUAGAGAUUGUAGAAAAGUGUUGUGGACCUCAAACUCGUAGCCAUGUAUUUGGAUUUGGUGGUGGAGUAAAGGCAAA
Long non-coding RNA from Solanum verrucosum, 350 nucleotides. RefSeq lists it as uncharacterized. The transcript is spliced from 3 exons. The record is from RefSeq and is a predicted model, not a curated record. Lineage: Eukaryota; Viridiplantae; Streptophyta; Magnoliopsida; Solanales; Solanaceae.